This 227-nucleotide unclassified non-coding RNA is filed under the name uncultured fungus. RNAcentral's name for it is "sequence contains ITS1". Lineage: Eukaryota; Fungi. The record is from RNAcentral.
GUAUUGAUUGCGUGUGACCGCAAAAAUAACAUUCUACACUGUAUCAAGUUUUGUGUGAAAACGUGAGCCCUCCUGCAAAGGGGGACCCACGCGGUGAUGCACAAGGGGUGAAAUGGAUGUGUGAGAGUGCUCAGGCGUGCACGACCUUUUGAAAGGUCAGCGACAGCCCUCGCAUGCCUCACACAUUUUGUACGAUAAUGAUCCUUCCGCAGGUUCACCUACGGAAA